RNAcentral lists this ribosomal RNA (439 nucleotides) under uncultured bacterium. Its description in RNAcentral is "partial 16S ribosomal RNA". It matches the Rfam family "Bacterial small subunit ribosomal RNA", at positions 339 to 795 of the family's 1533-position model. The record is from RNAcentral.
CUACGGGGCGCUCCAGUGAGGAAUAUUGCACAAUGGGGGGAACCCUGAUGCAGCAACGCCGCGUGGAGGAUGACGCAUUUCGGUGUGUAAACUCCUUUUAUAUGUCAAGAAAAUGACGGUAGCAUAUGAAUAAGCACCGGCUAACUCCGUGCCAGCAGCCGCGGUAAUACGGAGGGUGCAAGCGUUACUCGGAAUCACUGGGCGUAAAGGACGCGUAGGCGGGUUGGAAAGUCAGGUGUGAAAUCCUACAGCUUAACUGUAGAACUGCACUUGAAACUUCCAAUCUAGAGUAUGGGAGGGGGAGAUGGAAUUAGUGGUGUAGGGGUAAAAUCCGUAGAUAUCACUAGGAAUACCUAAAGCGAAGGCGAUCUCCUGGAGCAUUACUGACGCUAAGGCGUGAAAGCGUGGGGAGCAAACAGGAUUAGAUACCCUAGUAGUC